Molecule: small nuclear RNA, 108 nt
Organism: Ochotona curzoniae (black-lipped pika)
Lineage: Eukaryota; Metazoa; Chordata; Mammalia; Lagomorpha; Ochotonidae
Source: RefSeq, a predicted model, not a curated record
GUGCUCACUUCAGCAGCACAUAAACUAAAACUGGAAUGAGACAGAGAAGAUCAGCAUGGCCCCUGUGCAAAGAAUGUUAUUCGUGCCAUGGAGCAAUUCAAGCUGUAA